UUAGCGGCGGACGGGAGAGUAACACGUAGGCAACCUGCCCUCAAGCUUGGGACAACUACCGGAAACGGUAGCUAAUACCGAAUACUUGUUUUCUUCGCCUGAAGGGAACUGGAAAGACGGAGCAAUCUGUCACUUGAGGAUGGGCCUGCGGCGCAUUAGCUAGUUGGUGAGGUAACGGCUCACCAAGGCGACGAUGCGUAGCCGACCUGAGAGGGUGAUCGGCCACACUGGGACUGAGACACGGCCCAGACUCCUACGGGAGGCAGCAGUAGGGAAUCUUCCGCAAUGGGCGAAAGCCUGACGGAGCAAUGCCGCGUGAGUGAUGAAGGUUUUCGGAUCGUAAAGCUCUGUUGCCAGGGAAGAACGCUUGGGAGAGUAACUGCUCCCAAGGUGACGGUACCUGAGAAGAAAGCCCCGGCUAACUACGUGCCAGCAGCCGCGGUAAUACGUAGGGGGCAAGCGUUGUCCGGAAUUAUUGGGCGUAAAGCGCGCGCAGGCGGUCAUGUAAGUCUGGUGUUUAAUCCCGGGGCUCAACCCCGGAUCGCACUGGAAACUGCGUGACUUGAGUGCAGAAGAGGAGAGUGGAAUUCCACGUGUAGCGGUGAAAAUGCGUAGAGAUGUGGAGGAACACCAGUGGCGGAAGCGACUCUCUUGGGCUGUAACUGACGCUGAGGCGCGAAAGCGUGGGGGAGCAAACAGGAUUAGAUACCCUGGUAGUCCACCGCCGUAAACGAUGAAUGCUAGGUGU
RNAcentral lists this ribosomal RNA (748 nucleotides) under Paenibacillus barcinonensis. RNAcentral's name for it is "bacterial SSU rRNA". It matches the Rfam family "Bacterial small subunit ribosomal RNA", at positions 92 to 823 of the family's 1533-position model. The record is from RNAcentral. Lineage: Bacteria; Bacillati; Bacillota; Bacilli; Caryophanales; Paenibacillaceae.